Molecule: long non-coding RNA, 317 nt
Organism: Xenopus laevis (African clawed frog)
Lineage: Eukaryota; Metazoa; Chordata; Amphibia; Anura; Pipidae
Exons: 3
Source: RefSeq, a predicted model, not a curated record
GGACCAGCUAAUAGAAGGAAGACGCAAAGAUGGAGAACGGGUCGCACACUGACAAGGGAUGGAACACGUGGGAUACCAGCCCCGCCCUUUUCAAGGCCGGCCAAUCGGCGUGCUUCUAUCGGCACCGCAAAGCGAUCUGUUCCAAUCAGUGGGCAGGAAGGGUAUGGCAGAAUGAAAUGAAAUGGGAGGUACGAUGGAGACUCUGGAAAGAAUGGCAGGGUGCAGAGCUGAAUCAGUGACCAGAAGCCACUCAGAGACACCAACACAGGCCAGACAAGCUCUGUGCCCAGGAUCUCUCUGGAGUUAAAGAAAAAAAA